Molecule: ribosomal RNA, 480 nt
Filed under: Starmerella bacillaris
Lineage: Eukaryota; Fungi; Ascomycota; Dipodascomycetes; Dipodascales; Trichomonascaceae
Description: partial large subunit ribosomal RNA
Rfam family: Eukaryotic large subunit ribosomal RNA
Source: RNAcentral
GUACGGCGAGUGAACAGGCAAGAGCUCAGAUUUGAAAGGCACUUUUGUGCCGUUGUAUUCUGAAGUUAGGGUCCUGAGAAACGAUGCUUAAGUCUUCUGGAAAGGAGCGCCAUGGAGGGUGAUAGCCCCGUCUAGCAUUGACCUCAUAUAGGAUCUUAACAUGGAGUCGAGUUGUUUGGGAAUGCAGCUCAAAUGGGUGGUAUGCUCCAUCUAAAGCUAAAUAUCUGCGAGAGACCGAUAGUAAACAAGUACUGUGAGGGAAAGAUGAAAAGAACUUUGAAAAGAGAGUGAAAAAGUACGUGAAAUUGUUGAAAUGGAAGGGUAGGCCGCUAACCAUGUAGAGCCGUGUUUGGGGGGAAGAUAAAUGCUGUAGAAUGUAGCUCCUCGGAGUAUUAUAGAUGCAGUUCAUAUUCCCACCCGAGCGCGAGGAUCUCAGGUUCUACUAAAUGGUGGUCUACCACCCGUCUUGAACACGGACCA